GAUGAAGAACGCAGCGAAAUGCGAUAAGUAGUGUGAAUUGCAGAAUUCAGUGAAUCAUCGAAUCUUUGAACGCACAUUGCGCCCCUUGGUAUUCCAUGGGACAUGCCUGUUCGAGCGCCAUUUGUACCUUCAAGCUCUGCUUGGUGUUGGGUGUUUGUCUCGCCUCUGCGUGUAGACUCGCCUCAAAACAAUUGGCAGCCGGCGUAUUGAUUUCGGAGCGCAGUACAUCUCGCGCUUUGCACUCAUAACGACGACGUCCAAAAGUACAUUUUUACACUCUUGACCUCGGAUCAGGUAGGGAUACCCGCUGAACUUAAGCAUAUCAAUAAGCGGAGGA
Molecule: unclassified non-coding RNA, 337 nt
Filed under: soil metagenome
Description: partial contains 5.8S ribosomal RNA, internal transcribed spacer 2, and large subunit ribosomal RNA
Rfam family: 5.8S ribosomal RNA (bases 1-120)
Source: RNAcentral